Long non-coding RNA from Gallus gallus (chicken), 329 nucleotides. RefSeq lists it as uncharacterized. The transcript is spliced from 2 exons. The record is from RefSeq and is a predicted model, not a curated record. NCBI's taxonomy places the organism in Eukaryota, Metazoa, Chordata, Aves, Galliformes, Phasianidae.
CAGCGGGUGGAUGAAAAGCCCUCUUGGGAGCACCGAUGUGCCUUUCUCUGGGGCUGGCCUUCUGCCUGGACUCUGUCCUCAUGGUGUCACCAGUUCUCCCACAAAGAAAAGGGACAGGCAGUGAGGUUGGCAGCAUGCAGCAUCCCACCCUAUGGCACGGCACAGCGAGGACAGCCAGACCCCAGGAAAACCUCUGCUUGUGCUCUCAGGACAGGCUGCAAGUGUGGGGAGAGCCCGGAACGAAGGCCACGGGGCUGCUAUCCACUCCUGUCCCUCCAGCGCGUGCUGUUAGACCAGCACCCAAAAUAGCAGCAGAAAUGCUAACACUC